Molecule: ribosomal RNA, 526 nt
Filed under: uncultured bacterium
Lineage: Bacteria
Description: bacterial SSU rRNA
Rfam family: Bacterial small subunit ribosomal RNA
Source: RNAcentral
ACAUCCAGAGAACUUAGCAGAGAUGCUUUGGGUGCCUUCGGGAACUCUGAGACAGGUGCUGCAUGGCUGUCGUCAGCUCGUGUUGCGAAAUGUUGGGUUAAGUCCCGNAACGAGCGCAACCCUUAUCCUUUGUUGCCAGCGGUUCGGCCGGGAACUCAAAGGAGACUGCCGGUGAUAAACCGGAGGAAGGUGGGGAUGACGUCAAGUCAUCAUGGCCCUUACGGCCAGGGCUACACACGUGCUACAAUGGCGCAUACAAAGAGAAGCGACCUCGCGAGAGCAAGCGGACCUCAUAAAGUGCGUCGUAGUCCGGAUUGGAGUCUGCAACUCGACUCCAUGAAGUCGGAAUCGCUAGUAAUCGUAGAUCAGAAUGCUACGGUGAAUACGUUCCCGGGCCUUGUACACACCGCCCGUCACACCAUGGGAGUGGGUUGCAAAAGAAGUAGGUAGCUUAACCUUCGGGAGGGCGCUUACCACUUUGUGAUUCAUGACUGGGGUGAAGUCGUAACAAGGUAGGCGUAGCGAG